GCGUCGUUAGAUUACACGUUGUUACAGAAUGCGUUGAGGAAAUAAAGGUUCACUGCUCGAUCCCGUUGGAGGCUUUGCGUCGUAUGAAGCAGAUACCGCAAUGGCACUGCUUAAGAUACCGACGAUUCCCGCUUCACAGUCCUUGCAAUCGUUGGUGGUUGAUGCGAAGACAAUGAAAAUAAAAUUAAGCUCUCAAAAAUAUCAAGUCUUGACAAACAUCAAAUGGUUUCACUUUGCACGUUUGUUAUUCGAAGCCAUUAUACUAUGAAUGAAUAGGCACGAUUGCCGAAUAAUAGUCGGAUAAAAGAAUCGGAGAAAAAAUGAGACGCGACAUAAUAUAUAGAUAUACAUUCGUUACAUGGUUGCACAUAUUUCGGAACGAAAAUUAUAAACAAAAUAAAAACCGUUAACAUUUUCCUAUCUUAUUAUUUUCUAGUAAUUUAACAUCAGUGAAAUAUUUUAACUGUCUAUUUGAAUUUUCAUGAUUUGUAUUAGGUACUCAUAAUUUUAUAUUGCGGGUCUUAUUACGGUUUUAUAGUGGUCAUCUCAUGACGAUGACGGAUGCAACAUUGAAAUAUCAAACAAAAAUAAAAGGUACAUACCUAAUAUGAAUUGAAUAUGAUUGUUUUAUAGACAAAAGAUACAGGAAUUGUUAACUAUUUUUAUUCGUAGGUAUAUAUACAGAAUACAAGUUUAAAAGACGUGCUUAAAAAAGUCUUUUUUAGCGAAAUUAAAAAAGACUAAUAAACCAGUCAAAGAAAAGAUAACAUAGAAAAAUCAUUGGGAUACAUUGAUAGCAUUGUCGUAUUAACUAAAUUUAUUACUAGAUAUUAUGACAUUUAUAUAUUUCGGCGAAUAAAUGAACCAUAUGUAUAUAUAUAAUAUGUUGUUUUCUGUUUGCAUGAACAUAACAUAAAUCAUGCAUUAAUUUUGUAUUUUAUAUUCGAAGUCUAACAUAGAAGUAGUAAGAAGUAGUAGUAAGAAGAAGUAUAACGUAGAGUACAUUGCACCGUUUACUUUAUUUCAUAUCUGUAGGUAAUACUACUUCUCGAUAAAAGCAAUGUACCUAAUUCUUUAUUUAUACUUAUUUAAUUUCAUGUAAUGCCUUAACAGGACAAAACUCUUCUUAAGGAGAAGUUUCAGUUGUUUUCAUGUUACUAGCCCAAAAUAUACUAUGUACUUUUUAUUUAAGAUAAUUAGGUACCUAUGUAUUUUGUAUUAUCUGCGUGUACUAAUACGAUACAUUAAUUAAUGAUGUAAUUACAACGUGGGUUGUGAUUAGUUUUUCAUUUUUUUUCUUAUGUAUUUUUGUGUAGGAAAUGUUAAUUGACAUUUAAAUAUUUUAUUGUCUAAGCAUCGAAUUAUUGUAAAUGUCAUAAAAGCAACAAUAAUUAUAAAGCUGUACAUUCAGGUAAUUGGCGUUGGACGUAUGAUUGACUCAUCAUAAUCAUUAAUUCGACUCUUUAAAAUUUACAUUAAUUCUUGUUAAUUUACGUUAAUAUAGGUAGGUACUCAUUAUAUUAUGCUCUUACUAUUACAAAAAAUGAGAGAAAAUACAGGAAAAUGUACUUAUCAAAAAUUUAAAAAAUCAGUAUUAAUGUUGCAUUAUGUUCUUAAGCUUAAAUAAAUAAAGUUAAUAAUACAAUAUUAUUUAGUUUUAUUACACAAAAUAUUGUCCUAUUAGCUCUUUUAGGAUUUUUUAAAAAGAUACAUAAUUUUUAUUCUUGAGAGUAUUAAAUUAAAUAUUUUAGAUCAAUGGAUUAUUUUUAUAUA
This 1773-nucleotide unclassified non-coding RNA is filed under the name Melitaea cinxia (Glanville fritillary). RNAcentral's name for it is "misc RNA ENSMCXG00005021771.1". The record is from RNAcentral. Lineage: Eukaryota; Metazoa; Arthropoda; Insecta; Lepidoptera; Nymphalidae.